UACAGAGGUCCCAAGCGUUGUUCGGAUUCAUUGGGCGUAAAGGGUGUGUAGGUGGCGCCGUAAGUCGGGUGUGAAAUUUCGGAGCUUAACUCCGAAACUGCAUUCGAUACUGCGGUGCUUGAGGACUGGAGAGGAGACUGGAAUUCAUGGUGUAGCAGUGAAAUGCGUAGAGAUCAUGAGGAAGACCAGUGGCGAAGGCGGGUCUCUGGACAGUUCCUGACACUGAGACACGAAAGCCAGGGGAGCAAACGGG
This 253-nucleotide ribosomal RNA is filed under the name uncultured bacterium. Its description in RNAcentral is "partial 16S ribosomal RNA". It matches the Rfam family "Bacterial small subunit ribosomal RNA", at positions 524 to 776 of the family's 1533-position model. The record is from RNAcentral.